Molecule: non-coding RNA, 2558 nt
Organism: Tetranychus urticae (two-spotted spider mite)
Lineage: Eukaryota; Metazoa; Arthropoda; Arachnida; Trombidiformes; Tetranychidae
Source: RefSeq, a predicted model, not a curated record
CCUUCCCCCUAAAAAACCAAAAUGUCUUCUCAAAUUACCCAAAUUGUGAUAAACAUUAGCUUUAAAAAUCUAAACACUACUUGUUCAAAUGAACCCAAUUAUUUUGUUUCAAUUUAACUUUUGUUUUAAAAUGUUUCUUAACUGUUAAUCCAAGUUUCCUCACAUUUUAUACUCUUACACAUGUUUCAAUAGUAACUUAAGUUGUUUUUUUUCUUGUGUACUUUGGUUUAGUUUCUGACGAUUUGUUUUCUUUUCUCUAUUUAACAAAUUUCUAUAUUUAGGUAUAAAACCUCAAUGUUCAGUCCUGGAUUUCAUUUUCACCUGACGCUUCUUUGCUCUUCACCUGUUUUCUAUGGGUGAAAAAGUUGGAAUAGUGUUAACCAGUUUUAUUAUUUUCCUGGUAAUGUGUUAAAACUAAACUUGUUAUUCUUAUACUUCUGUGGAACUCACUAGAAGACCAAAAAGACCAGAAAUUGAUCUUUUCUGUGAAUUACUGUAUUUUUGUUAAUUUUUUGGUUUACUCGAUCGAUUUUGCAAAAUACAAUGUUACACAUAUUUCAGUUCAACUCAAGGAAUGAGCCUAUUUCAUUAAGUUUUAUAAUAAUGAUGAAAAUCGCCAUGAAGACAGGAUCCAUAGAAGCUGAGCAAGACCAAGAAGAAAAAUGGAAGACUAACAAAAAUGAUCUUUAUUGUAUUCUGCCUGCUGUAUCAACAUCCACAAACAUUUGCAAACAAAUGCUUUCAUCUUCAUCGUAAUCAUCUUGAUCAUCAGGAGAGAAAAAAAACAUUGUCAUCGCUAUUACCAUUAGCUUUAACAUAACCAUCAACUUAAUGUUAAUCAUAACUUCAAUAGAGAAAGAAAAGAGCUUGCAAGUAAGUUUGAAAAAGGGUUUAGUUUAUCCUGGUAAGAAUGUUGAAUACGAGCUGGAGUUAAGAAAAGAUGCUGAGAAAGAAUAGAAAUGUAAUAAAAUUACAAGAGAAAGAGAGGAAGAAAGGAGAAGAAAAAAUCGACAGCAAAGUGAAUUUCAUCGAUCAGGGUCAUCCGAAGGCUUUGUAAGAUCAUGUCAACUCGAGUUCUGAUUUUACUUCUCUCCCUGUUUGUCUCUUCAUUCUCAUUUUUACCUUACUCUGAAUGGGUUUCACCUUCCGCGAAGAAGUUAAAUAAUCAUGGAUGGUAAAUGUAUAAAAAAACAUUGAUCUCACCAGAGGAAGGAACAAAAAAGCAAUCAAGAAACAUCAUUGUAAGGUAAACUCACUGGAGAUGGAAAAUAAUUAACUUAAUCAAUAAUUUACAAGAGUUAAAACAUGAGUUGGUUAAAGUGGCAAAAGCAAAGGCUACAAGAAAAAAUACAACAACUAAGAUAACAUGAAAUGGUAAAAUGAUACUUUUCUUGCUGAACAGGAAAAGAUUCAUUAACAUUUAUCUUCAUGGGAAAACUUUGAAUGGCAUCCAGUUUAAUAAUGGUUAAUCUAAUUGAUUUCAAUUUGAUCAAAUUGAGCUGAUCAAUUGACUCAGAUGUGAUUUUGGUUCAAUCUAUCAUUGACAAACGGCUCCAAAUGAAAAUCAAAUUAAUUGGAAACAUUUGAUGCCAACAAGGAAAAAAGUCUAGUUUCUUGGAUGGAUUCAUAAUCAAAUUGGAGGUUAUCAUGGAAACAGUUAAUAUAAUUGGAAUGGAAAUCAUCUCGAAUGUAACUCUUUUAAGGAUCAUCAAACCACCAACUUUCAUCUAUUCAUAGAAGACUAUCAUUCAAGUUGACUCUUUUUUACAACCAGACAUCAUUGGUUAAACACAAAGAAUCUUGUUUCACCAAACAGGUUGUCGGUAACUUGCAAUAAUGUAAUCAAUUGAGGUAAAACAAUUGAUGAUUGAUUGACACAAUUUACACAUAUUACCUUAAAUUACCUAUCAAGCUGUUGUCAACGCAAAAGAAGAGUUUUUUGGCCAUAUAACAGUGAAUUGUGCCACGGAAACGUUUUUAAUGGUGGAAAUCAAUUAAUAGCCAACUAUUAAUUCCAUAAAUCUUCAACUUUGAAUGUUAUCAAAUGAUAAUAAUUUAGAUUUGCCGUUGAAUGGGUGUUGCAAUGUCAUUUCCGUUGAUUAUGAUGAUUGUAAUAGUUAUUAUUGUUAAUUAACGAAUGACUGGUUAUUAUGAACGGUUCUUGUUCAAUUUAUCAUGAUUAAUGCUGGAGGACCUCCUUGAAGCGACAUGAAGAGACUCAAAGACAGAGAAAUUAGACAGAAAAAAUUGUGGCAAUAAAAAGCAAUUGAACGUUGAUAGUGAAAAGUGAAACAAAUUGGUAAAUCGAUGAAUGAAACUGAACGUUUCAUUGAUGAUUUUCAUUUUACUAUAUCAGAGGUUGAUGAAAUUGCUUUUUUGUUAUCACAAACAUCACCGUAAGAUAAAUUUAUCAUUGAAAUAUGGUUAAGUGAAUGAAAAUUGUAUGUUAUCUGUUCAUUUUGAAGUAACUUUAUUGAUUAGAGUUGAGAGUUGGAUAAUUUUUGAUCAAUGUAAAUAACUUAUUAGUCAGGCAAGUAUAUCAUUUGACACACAAUUAA